UGGGGAAUCUUGCACAAUGGGGGCAACCCUGAUGCAGCGACGCAGCGUGAGCGAUGAAGGUUUUCGAAUCGUAAAGCUCUGUCCUAUGGGAAGAUAAUGACGGUACCAUAGGAGGAAGCCCCGGCUAACUACGUGCCAGCAGAAGCGGUAAUACGUAGGGGGCGAGCGUUGUCCGGAAUUACUGGGCGUGAAGGGUUCGCAGGCGGCAUGGCAAGUCCGAUGUAAAAGGCGAAGGCUCAACCUUCGUAAGCAUCGGAAACUGUCAAGCUUGAGUGAAGGAGAGGCAAGUGGAAUUCCUAGUGUAGCGGUGGAAUGCGUAGAUAUUAGGAGGAAUACCGGUGGCGAAGGCGACUUGCUGGACUUCAACUGACGCUGAGGAACGAAAGCGUGGGUAGCAAACAGU
Molecule: ribosomal RNA, 403 nt
Filed under: Fusobacteriota bacterium
Lineage: Bacteria; Fusobacteriati; Fusobacteriota
Description: Fusobacteria bacterium partial 16S ribosomal RNA
Rfam family: Bacterial small subunit ribosomal RNA
Source: RNAcentral